GAACUAGAUUCAAUCUGAUGUCAGAAUAUCAUGUACUCCAUCAAACUCUGCUACUUUGGUUUAAGUUAUUUUUGAUUGGUUAACUACAAAACGAGCUAUUAGCCAUUGUAGAUUAAAAUAACCCACCCUGUAUAUAUAUAUAUAGAACG
Molecule: long non-coding RNA, 149 nt
Organism: Chrysoperla carnea
Lineage: Eukaryota; Metazoa; Arthropoda; Insecta; Neuroptera; Chrysopidae
Exons: 3
Source: RefSeq, a predicted model, not a curated record